UGGAUCACUCCAUCCAUCACUCACAAUGGUAACUCCUUUUUUCGCCCAUGUGCCUUUAAUUGGAUUUAAUAAUCUUUCCACAUUUUUUUUUCUCUUUUUGAAGAAGAGUAGUUCUCAACUUGUUGUAACCGAGAGGCAAAAUCCCGAAAUUCGACUAUUGGAAGCAAGAGUAUAAGAACUAAUGUAAUAAGGAUUUCUUGCAAGAGUAAAAGGCAAACCACUUGAAUAAAACAUUCUAGCAAUUUCGGAAUCCAAUUGGUCACGUGUUGUCACAUUAAAAGCAUUUUCUAUUGCACUAUUCUUUCUUUUCCUUUCCUCCAAAACAUAACAAUCCU
RNAcentral lists this long non-coding RNA (335 nucleotides) under Olea europaea (common olive). RNAcentral describes it as "long non-coding RNA (OEUR_LNC015389)". The record is from RNAcentral. Lineage: Eukaryota; Viridiplantae; Streptophyta; Magnoliopsida; Lamiales; Oleaceae.